This 512-nucleotide ribosomal RNA is filed under the name uncultured bacterium. RNAcentral describes it as "partial 16S ribosomal RNA". It matches the Rfam family "Bacterial small subunit ribosomal RNA", at positions 28 to 523 of the family's 1533-position model. The record is from RNAcentral.
GACGAACGCUGGCGGCGUGCCUAAUACAUGCAAGUCGAGCGGACCAAUAGAAGCUUGCUUCUAUUGGUUAGCGGCGGACGGGUGAGUAACACGUGGGCAACCUGCCUGUAAGACUGGGAUAACUUCGGGAAACCGGAGCUAAUACCGGAUAAUUCAUCCCCUCGCAUGAGGGGGUGCUGAACGUCGGUUCACGCUGACACUUACAGAUGGGCCUGCGGCGCAUUAGCUAGUUGGUGAGGUAAUGGCUCAACAAGGCGACGAUGCGUAGCCGACCUGAGAGGGUGAUCGGCCACACUGGGACUGAGACACGGCCCAGACUCCUACGGGAGGCAGCAGUAGGGAAUCUUCCACAAUGGACGAAAGUCUGAUGGAGCAACGCUGCGUGAGCGAUGAAGGCCUUCGGGUCGUAAAGCUCUGUUGUUAGGGAAGAACAAGUACCGGAGUAACUGCCGGUACCUUGACGGUACCUAACCAGAAAGCCACGGCUAACUACGUGCCAGCAGCCGCCGUAA